RNAcentral lists this ribosomal RNA (397 nucleotides) under Acanthamoeba sp. 1 AMC-2013. RNAcentral's name for it is "SSU rRNA". It matches the Rfam family "Eukaryotic small subunit ribosomal RNA", at positions 764 to 1095 of the family's 1831-position model. Lineage: Eukaryota; Discosea; Longamoebia; Acanthamoebidae. The record is from RNAcentral.
CAUUAGAGUGUUCAUGCGGGCAGAUAUUUUUCCUGCGCCGAGUACAUUAGCAUGGGAUAAUGAAUAGGACCCUGACCUCCUAUUUUCAGUUGGUUUUGUUUAUACAGCGAGGUUCAUCAGGGUAAUGAUUAAUAGGGAUAGUUGGGGGCAUUAAUAUUUAAUUGUCAGAGGUGAAAUUCUUGGAUUUAUGAAAGAUUAACUUCUGCGAAAGCGUUUGCCAAGGAUGUUUUCAUUAAUCAAGAACGAAAGUUAGGGGAUCGAAGACGAUCAGAUACCGUCGUAGUCUUAACCAUAAACGAUGCCGACCAGCGAUUAGGAGACGUUGAAUACAAAACACCGCUGUUAAUCCUUUCGGGGAUUAAUAGUUGGUGAAUGACUCCCCUAGAAGCUUGUGAGA